AUCUUAUCUAGAGUGGCAGAGGGACUGGCCCUAUGAAGCCACAGCAACCGGUCUUGUCCAGCAAAUCAGCUGAGACGGGAUGCAGGUGCUAAUUCCUGUCUCAUAAAUUGGGAAAAGAUAAGGU
RNAcentral lists this non-coding RNA (124 nucleotides) under Planctomycetota bacterium. RNAcentral describes it as "Planctomycetes bacterium SAM-I sequence". It matches the Rfam family "SAM riboswitch aptamer (S box leader)". Rfam says of the family: The SAM riboswitch is found upstream of a number of genes which code for proteins involved in methionine or cysteine biosynthesis in Gram-positive bacteria. The SAM riboswitch acts at the level of transcription termination control. Lineage: Bacteria; Pseudomonadati; Planctomycetota. The record is from RNAcentral.